RNAcentral lists this long non-coding RNA (536 nucleotides) under Monodelphis domestica (gray short-tailed opossum). RNAcentral describes it as "lncRNA (ENSMODG00000034468.2)". Lineage: Eukaryota; Metazoa; Chordata; Mammalia; Didelphimorphia; Didelphidae. The record is from RNAcentral.
CCAAAAUGGAGGAUAUGAUUACAAAACCGUCAGACUAAGGUUAUGUUUUAUUCCCAAAGGAAUCUUUGGCUUCAGUCUUCAGCUUGGAGCUUCGACUGGUGACUUAUCUCUUGGAGGUGGCUUUGGACUUGGACUUCAGCUUCCAUUUGGGACCUUGACUUCUUGGACUGCUCCUGGAUCUUCUGCUUUGUACUUCAUCUUGGGCAAGAAGUUGAAAUCUGAUGACAUGAUUCCUUAUAUAGGAACUUCCAUAUAUUCUCAACUUCAAAAUGAAACUUGGAUAUAUACUGUAGAUUCAAUGAUCUCUCCAUGGAGAAGUGUGAGAAGAGAAGCAGUUAAUUCUGGAUUUUAGUCUUUUGGUCAGGCAAGAAGCAUGGAAUACAUUCUAAAAGUGUAGAGUCAGAGGGUUAAGAAUAUUAUAUUACUUGUUGGUUAUGGGAGGGGUGUAGGAGGAGGGAAGGGAAAGAACAUGAAUCAUGUAACCAUGGAAAAAUAUUCUAAAAUAAAUAAAUAAAUAAACUUUUAAAAAAUUUAAA